GUUUACAGCCAUAUCGCCCUGAACGUGCCCAAUCUCGUCUGAUCUUGGAAGCUAAGGAGGGUUGGGCCUGGUUAGUACUUGGAUGGGAGAAACCCUGCAAGUGAUCU
RNAcentral lists this ribosomal RNA (107 nucleotides) under Echinops telfairi (small Madagascar hedgehog). The record is from RNAcentral. Lineage: Eukaryota; Metazoa; Chordata; Mammalia; Afrosoricida; Tenrecidae.